ACUCCUACGGGAGGCAGCAGUGGGGAAUAUUGCACAAUGGGCGCAAGCCUGAUGCAGCCAUGCCGCGUGUGUGAAGAAGGCCUUCGGGUUGUAAAAGCACUUUCAGUCGUGAGGAAGGUAGUUGUAGUUAAUAGCCGCAUUAUUUGACGUUGCACAAGAAAAGCGACGCUAAACUUCCGUGCCAGNAAGCCCGGGUAAUACGGAGGGUGCGAGCGUUAAUCGGAAUUACUGGGCGUAAAAGCGCAUGCAGGUGGUUUGUUAAAGUCAGAUGUGAAAAGCCCGGGGGCUCAAACCUCGGAAAUUGCAUUUGAAAACUGGCAGACUAGAGUACUGUAGAGGGGGGUAGAAAUUUGCAGGUGUAGCGGUGAAAAUGCGU
Molecule: ribosomal RNA, 376 nt
Filed under: uncultured bacterium
Lineage: Bacteria
Description: bacterial SSU rRNA
Rfam family: Bacterial small subunit ribosomal RNA
Source: RNAcentral